Molecule: transfer RNA, 73 nt
Filed under: bacterium
Lineage: Bacteria
Description: tRNA-Ile
Rfam family: tRNA
About the family: Transfer RNA (tRNA) molecules are approximately 80 nucleotides in length. Their secondary structure includes four short double-helical elements and three loops (D, anti-codon, and T loops).
Source: RNAcentral
GGGUGCAUAGCUCAGUGGUUAGAGCACGCGCCUUAUAAGCGCGUGGCCGAUGGUUCGAAUCCAUCUGCACCCA